Molecule: ribosomal RNA, 253 nt
Filed under: uncultured bacterium
Lineage: Bacteria
Description: partial 16S ribosomal RNA
Rfam family: Bacterial small subunit ribosomal RNA
Source: RNAcentral
UACGGAGGGUGCAAGCGUUAUCCGGAUUCACUGGGUUUAAAGGGAGCGCAGGCGGGCUGGUAAGUCAGUGGUGAAAUACCCGUGCUUAACAUGGGAACUGCCAUUGAUACUAUUGGUCUUGAAUAUCGUUGAGGUUUGCGGAAUGGGUCAUGUAGCGGUGAAAUGCAUAGAUAUGACCCGGAACACCUAUUGCGAAGGCAGCAGGCUAAGCGAAGAUUGACGCUGAGGCUCGAAAGCGUGGGGAUCAAACAGG